CUAGCGGCAGGCUUAACACAUGCAAGUCGAGGGUAUGAUUCUUCGGCAGCAGAACCGGCGCACGGGUGAGUAACGCGUAUAGAAUCUACCUUUUACAGAGGGAUAGCCUAUAGAAAUGUGGAUUAAUACCUCAUAGUACAUUUGAAUGGCAUCAUUCUACAGUUAAAGUUACAUCGGUAGAAGAUGAGCAUGCGUCCCAUUAGCUAGUUGGUAAGGUAACGGCUUACCAAGGCAACGAUGGGUAGGGGUCCUGAGAGGGAGAUCCCCCACACUGGUACUGAGACACGACCAGACUCCUACGGGAGGCAGCAGUGAGGAAUAUUGGGCAAUGGGCGCAAGUCUGACCCAGCCAUGCCGCGUGCAGGAAGACUGUCCUAUGGAUUGUAAACUGCUUUUAUACGGGAAGAAACAUAGCUACGAGUAGGUGUUUGACGGUACCGUAAGAAUAAGGAUCGGCUAACUCCGUGCCAGCAGCCGCGGGUAUACGGAGNAUCCAAGCGUUAUCCGGAAUCAUUGGGUUUAAAGGGUCCGCAGGCGGUUGAAUAAGUCAGAGGUGAAAUCCCAUAGCUUAACGGUGGAACGGCCAUUGAUACUGUUAAACUUGAGUUAUUAGGAAGUAACUAGAAUAUGUAGUGUAGCGGUGAAAUGCUUAGAUAUUACAUGGAAUACCGAUUGCGAAGGCAGUCUACUACUAAUGGAUUGACGCUGAUGGACGAAAGCGUGGGUAGCGAACAGGAUUAGAUACCCUGGUAGUCCACGCCGUAAACGAUGGAUACUAGCUGUUGGGAGCAAUCUCAGUGACUAAGCGAAAGUGAUAAGUAUCCCACCUGGGGAGUACGAUCGCAAGAAUGAAACUCAAAGGAAUUGACGGGGGCCNGCACAAGCGGUGGAGCAUGUGGUUUAAUUCGAUGAUACGCGAGGAACCUUACCAAGGCUUAAAUGUAGAUUGACCGGUUUGGAGACAGAUCUUUCGUCGGACAAUUUACAAGGUGCUGCAUGGUUGUCGUCAGCUCGUGCCGUCUGAGGUGUCAGGUUAAGUCCUAUAACGAGCGCAACCUUGUUGUUAGUUGCUAGCGAGUAAUGACGGGAACUCUAGCGAGACUGCCGGUGCAAACUGUGAGGAAGGUGGGGAUGACGUCAAAUCAUCACGGCCCUUACGCCUUGGGCUACACACGUGCUACAAUGGCCGGUACAGAGAGCAGCCAUCUCGCGACAAGGAGCGAAUCUACAAAGCCGGUCACAGUUCGGAUCGGAGUCUGCAACUCGACUCCGUGAAGCUGGAAUCGCUAGUAAUUCGCGUAUCAGCCAUGAUCCGGUGAAUACGUUCCCGGGCCUUGUACACACCGCCCGUCAAGCCAUGGAAGCUGGGUGUACCUGAAGACGGUUACCGCAAGGAGCUGCCUAGGGUAAAACUGGUAACUAGG
This 1424-nucleotide ribosomal RNA is filed under the name Flavobacterium psychrophilum. RNAcentral's name for it is "bacterial SSU rRNA". It matches the Rfam family "Bacterial small subunit ribosomal RNA". The record is from RNAcentral. Lineage: Bacteria; Pseudomonadati; Bacteroidota; Flavobacteriia; Flavobacteriales; Flavobacteriaceae. RNAcentral also lists the same sequence under 1 other name.